UCGCUAGUCCCAUCUGGGUUCAACCAGGUUGUGUGAUUAGUACAUGUCUGGCCAUCCUUCUAGUUGCCAGCAGGCACACCUUUACUGGUGUGACUUGUCUGUACAAAAGUGACUAGAUCUUUUACUUUGAAAAAAUUAGAGUGUUUCAAGCAGGCGCACACAAAGCGGCUAUGAAUACAUUAGCAUGGAAUAAUGCAAUAGGACUUCGGUUCUAUUUUGUUGGUUUCUAGGACUGAAGUAAUGAUUGAUAGGGAUAGUUGGGGGUGCUAGUAUUCAGCGGCCAGAGGUGAAAUUCUUGGAUUCGCUGAAGACUAACUUAUGCGAAAGCAUU
This 331-nucleotide ribosomal RNA is filed under the name Glissomonadida sp. RNAcentral describes it as "SSU rRNA". It matches the Rfam family "Eukaryotic small subunit ribosomal RNA", at positions 631 to 955 of the family's 1831-position model. The record is from RNAcentral. Lineage: Eukaryota; Cercozoa; Glissomonadida.